CGCGGUAAUACGUAGGUGGCAAGCGUGGUCCGGAUUUAUUGGGUUUAAAGGGUGCGUAGGCGGCCUGGUAAGUCAGGGGUGAAAGACGGUGGCUCAACCAUCGCAGUGCCUUUGAUACUGCCGGGCUUGAAUGUACGUGAGGUAGGCGGAAUGUGGCAAGUAGCGGUGAAAUGCAUAGAUAUGCCACAGAACACCGAUUGCGAAGGCAGCUUACCAAGGUACGAUUGACGCUGAGGCACGAAAGCGUGGGGAUCAAACAGG
This 261-nucleotide ribosomal RNA is filed under the name uncultured bacterium. RNAcentral describes it as "partial 16S ribosomal RNA". It matches the Rfam family "Bacterial small subunit ribosomal RNA", at positions 516 to 776 of the family's 1533-position model. The record is from RNAcentral.